UACGAACCGUCCAAACGUUAUUCGGAAUUACUGGGUUUAAAGGGUACGUAGGCGGCGCUGUUAGUCGGGUGUGAAAGCCCACGGCUCAACCGUGGAAUUGCGCCCGAAACUGCAGUGCUCGAGGGAGACAGAGGUAAGCGGAACUGAUGGUGGAGCGGUGAAAUGCGUUGAUAUCAUCAGGAACACCGGUGGCGAAAGCGGCUUACUGGGUCUCUUCUGACGCUGAGGUACGAAAGCCAGGGGAGCGAAGGGG
RNAcentral lists this ribosomal RNA (253 nucleotides) under uncultured bacterium. RNAcentral describes it as "partial 16S ribosomal RNA". It matches the Rfam family "Bacterial small subunit ribosomal RNA", at positions 524 to 776 of the family's 1533-position model. The record is from RNAcentral.